Molecule: small nuclear RNA, 107 nt
Organism: Sarcophilus harrisii (Tasmanian devil)
Lineage: Eukaryota; Metazoa; Chordata; Mammalia; Dasyuromorphia; Dasyuridae
Source: Ensembl
GUGCUCACUUUGGCAACCUAUAUACUAAAAUUGGAAUGAUACAGAGAAGAUUAGCAUGGCCCUGUGCAAAGAUGACACACAAAUUUACAAAGUAUUUCUCUAAAGAU